AGGGCUGCGGCAACCGGCGGCUGCGGCUGCGACCCAAGGGGGGGGGGGCACGGCGACGGUUGCGGCUGGGAGGCGGGCGGCGGUGAUAGAGCGAUCGAGAAGCAGCGGCGGCGGUGGAGAAAAAGGCAGCGAGCGUCGUCGCUGGCCGGGAAGUUGCGAUGCUGGAGAUGGGAAACAGGGUGCUCUGUUUCGAUCGCACCACAGCCGGAGCCGCUGGCGAUGCUGGCAACGGCGGUGCGGCGGUGAUCGUGCGGCCGAGAAGCAGCGGCAACGGUGGAGAAGGAGGAAUCGGCGGCUGUAAAGGCGACCGACGCCUGCGGCAGCAGAGGGACCGGCGGCUGCUCUGUUUCUAUCGCACCAUAGAAACAGCGACGCUGACAGAUCGCACGGCCGAAGCUGCAACCAUGGGAAGCCAGCGAUGGCGGUGUGGCUAGG
RNAcentral lists this long non-coding RNA (435 nucleotides) under Musa acuminata (dwarf banana). RNAcentral describes it as "long non-coding RNA (MACU_LNC005793)". Lineage: Eukaryota; Viridiplantae; Streptophyta; Magnoliopsida; Zingiberales; Musaceae. The record is from RNAcentral.